GAGCGCCCCGCAAGGGGAGCGGCAGACGGGAGAGUAACACGUGGGAACGUACCCUUCAGUUCGGAACAACCCAGGGAAACUUGGGCUAAUACCGGAUACGUCCGUAAGGAGAAAGAUUUAUCGCUGAAGGAUCGGCCCGCGUCUGAUUAGCUAGUUGGUGAGGUAACGGCUCACCAAGGCUACGAUCAGUAGCUGGUCUGAGAGGAUGAUCAGCCUCACUGGGACUGAGACACGGCCCAGACUCCUACGGGAGGCAGCAGUGGGGAAUAUUGGACAAUGGGCGCAAGCCUGAUCCAGCCAUGCCGCGUGGAUGAUGAAGGCCCUAGGGUUGUAAAGUCCUUUCGGCGGGGAAGAUAAUGACGGUACCCGCAGAAGAAGCCCCGGCUAACUUCGUGCCAGCAGCCGCGGUAAUACGAAGGGGGCUAGCGUUGCUCGGAAUCACUGGGCGUAAAGCGCACGUAGGCGGCUUUCUAAGUCAGAGGUGAAAUCCUGGAGCUCAACUCCAGAACUGCCUUUGAUACUGGAGAGCUUGAGUCCGGGAGAGGUGAGUGGAACUGCGAGUGUAGAGGUGAAAUUCGUAGAUAUUCGCAAGAACACCAGUGGCGAAGGCGGCUCACUGGCCCGGUACUGACGCUGAGGUGCGAAAGCGUGGGGA
RNAcentral lists this ribosomal RNA (655 nucleotides) under uncultured forest soil bacterium. RNAcentral describes it as "bacterial SSU rRNA". It matches the Rfam family "Bacterial small subunit ribosomal RNA", at positions 64 to 767 of the family's 1533-position model. The record is from RNAcentral.